GUCCAUCCAGAGACAUCUAAUAAAUUGAAACAAUAUAGAAAUGAUGAGCAUGACUAAUGCACAAGAUUGCAUACAUAAAUAGAGAUAUAUGUUAUUAUU
Salvia splendens (bonfire salvia) is the source of this 99-nucleotide small nuclear RNA. The record is from RefSeq and is a predicted model, not a curated record. Lineage: Eukaryota; Viridiplantae; Streptophyta; Magnoliopsida; Lamiales; Lamiaceae.